Neogale vison (American mink) is the source of this 519-nucleotide long non-coding RNA. RefSeq lists it as uncharacterized. The record is from RefSeq and is a predicted model, not a curated record. The transcript is spliced from 4 exons. Lineage: Eukaryota; Metazoa; Chordata; Mammalia; Carnivora; Mustelidae.
UUGUGUAUUUGAGAGAAAAAAAGAGCAUGUGAACACAUGCGUUAUUGAGGUGGGGGGGCAAAGAGGGAGAAUCUUAAGCAGACACCCUACUGACUGGGAAGCCCAGUAUGGGGCUGGAUCUCAUGACUGAUGAGAUCAGGACCUGAACCAAAAUCAAGUGUUAGACAAUCAACUGACGGAGCCAACCAGGCGCUUCUCAUCUCUGACUUUUCUUACCAGCCUUCUCAAGACCAGGAAGAACCCCAUCCAGGCCCAUUCUAGUCUUGGCUAUCAACAGGCAUCAAACCAAGAUGUAUGAUAUGAUUCUCUGGUUCAUCUUCAUUUUUGAAUUCAAGAAAUAAUUAUUGAGAAGGCACUGUGGAGAAAACACAGUAGUAGGUAAACAAGAGAUAUAAAGAGGCCAGACUGAACAGAAAAAUUCUUCUACUCCUUCAGUAAUAUGAAUGGUAUGAUACCUGCAGAAAAUGGCAAAAGCAGUUGCUCUCUAUACAAGUGCUCAUCAGGGAAAUACAAAUCAAA